CGGAUUGUAGUCUGCAACCCGACUACAUGAAGCUGGAAUCGCUAGUAAUCGCGAAUCAGAAUGUCGCGGUGAAUACGUUCCCGGGUCUUGUACACACCGCCCGUCACACCAUGGGAGUCGGAAAUGCCCGAAGUCAGUGACCCAACCGUAAGGAGGGAGCUGCCGAAGGUGGAGCCGGUAACUGGGGUGAAGUCGUAACAAGGUACC
Molecule: ribosomal RNA, 207 nt
Filed under: uncultured bacterium
Lineage: Bacteria
Description: partial 16S ribosomal RNA
Rfam family: Bacterial small subunit ribosomal RNA
Source: RNAcentral